This 5798-nucleotide long non-coding RNA is filed under the name Marmota monax (woodchuck). The record is from RNAcentral. Lineage: Eukaryota; Metazoa; Chordata; Mammalia; Rodentia; Sciuridae.
AGAUAAGUGGUGGUAUCAUGGUGAAGGGGGAAGCAUGCAGGGUCCAAAUCAGGUGGGACUUAAUUCAUAGUAGAAAAAAAUCUAGCAGUAGGUUGACAUAAGAAUCUGAAAAUCUGAGCAUGGGUUUUGUCUUUGCCAGCUGUGAAUUGUGUGACUUUGGGCAAGUUCCUUGUUCUCUAUAGCAUCGAAUAUCCUUUUCUAUGAAAUAGUGUUCAUGCCUCCAUUGGACGGGAUGGUGAGAAUAAAUAAGACGUAAGGUGGGAUGUAAAGGACCUCGAAGGGCCUGACACUGGAAAAUGAGCAUCAGCUGUUAGCUCCUGCCUUCCCAUCAGUUAUAGAGAGGGUUAAGACAUGGUCCCUGCCCUAGGGAGCAGCCGUAUGCAUACUAUACAUGGUGAGAUGAACUAUGGCAAAGGAGAAAGUUAUUAAAUAUCCAUUUAAUUUUAUAGUCUGCCUCUGAUAAAGUAAAAAAUGGCCAUGAUAAAUGUAUUUUUGAGAUCUUUUAUUAUUUUUAGAAAGAGCCAGCUAACUCAUGACAAAAUUAUGUGAAGUUGAUUAAGAAUGUUCACCAAACACUUGAGACACCUAAUUCCCUUUGAACCAGCUGUGGAAGGUUUAACAAACUGAUGAAUGGGUUAUUAUCCCAUUUUUUCGGGAUAUAUGAUGAUCGUGAGCAUCUAUAUUAAAUGUGUUUGGGUGACAGUUUGUACUAUUUGUGUAUUUCAACUCUUGAAACUCCAAAAGAAUCUGAGAACACCUUUCCCAUCCAAGUAGAUUAUGAUGCCUAUGAUGUUCAAGUAAAUGUUCAGGCUGCCCAGCUCAUCCUGGGAUCAGCCCCUUGUCACCUGCUUGUUUUCACCUGAUUUACUUGGGGGUGCAUAUAAGAAUUGUUUAUACAAAACCUGAGGUCCAAUAAGGAUCUUUAUGAGCUGAACCUUAAAAAUGUUUUAAAUUAAGAUUAGCCAAAUGGAAGCCAUGCCAUGUAGAAAAUUAAGAAUCCUGUUUUCAUGGGUUUUGCCCCAGACAUUUUGUUUGCCAUAAAGUAGUAUCUUAAAAUAGAGAGAGGGUUCUUAGGCUUUUUCUAAGAGAAGCAGUUUACAAAUUUCAUAAUUUUCUCUCUGGGAUGGCACUAAUAUAGAUCCUCAGGCCCAAAAUUUCUUUUCAGUUUGCAAAAGCUCACGCUCUUUCUUUUAUUUAAUUUCUGCUUAUUAAAUUUGUUCUGUGAUGUUCUGGUCAUGCAGUAAUUUCUACUGUGAUAGAGUUAGAUAUAUCAACAUGUUCAUUCUACCCCAAAUUAUAGAUAAUUUUCUUCAAAUACUUGAUAAUCUGGGCUUUUGUGCUUAGUUCUUUAUAUUUUUAAAAUUAAUGUGUAUAAUAGAAAUUUAGCUUUUGUGUGUGUGUGUGUGUGUGUGUGUGUUUUGGUUCCUCAGUUCACCAAAUAAUGAGUCCAUUUUCCAGGUUUCUUUCCUCCUGUUUGGGGGGUUUUGUUUUUUUAAUUUUUGUUUGUUUGGUUGGUUGUUUCGGUAGCACUGAGGAAUCAGUGCUACCGAACCCAGGGCUUCGUGCCUACUAGGCAAGUGAUUCACCCCUGAGUUAUAUCCACAACAAUUUUUUUAUUAUUUUUUGAGACAGUGUCUUACCAAGUUGCCCAAGGAGGGCAAGUGUGCCUCACCAUGUCCAGUUAUCCACACUGCGACUUAAUUGGUUCUCUAUCCCUUGUACUUGGCUACACAUAUGCUGGUGCUCAAAUAUUUACUUUUGAAACAGUAAAUAUGUAAGUGAGAACUUGGAAUGUACUUUUAGGCUUUGUUAAAGCUCUGAAUUAACAGAAAAUCCUUCUUGGACGAAACAGUUCUGAUUCCAGAAGGGCAGCCCUGUUGGUAGAGUAGCUCUUUGAUUCUGAGGGUUCACCUCCUCAUAGUACUUCUCUUUUGCUCUUUCCUCUGACUUCUUCUUGAGAUUUUCUACCCUAGGGAAAUGUAUGUUUUAAUAAAAAUACAUUAUUAUUAAAACUUUAAUUAAGGAAAUGUUUAAACAUGCUCAAUUAAAGAGAGGAUUUCCCUGAACAUCUAUUAACAUGUUGCCAGACUUGUUUCAUCAAAUUUCCCACAUUCUAAAUUUUGACUGGAAUAUUUUAAAAUAAAGUCCACACAUCCUGUUUUUCUCCAGUCUGAACAGACUUUAUUGUAUGUUUCUAACAAAUGAGAAUUUUUAGAAAACACGUGACCACAGAACCAUUACAACUAUGAACAAUACUAAUUCCUUCAUGUACUUUAAUUUCGACAUUCAAAUUUCCCAAGUGUGUUUUUGUGCUGGGCACAGUGGCACACACCUGUAAUCCCAGUGGCUCCGGAGGCUGAAGCAGGAGAAUCGCAAGUUCAAAGCCAGCCUCAGCAACAGUGAGGCACUAAGCAACUUAGUGAGACGCUGUCUCUAAGUAAAAUACAAAAAUGAGUUGGGGAUGUGGCUGAGUGGUUAAGAGCCCUUAAGUUCAGUCUCUGGUUCCAAAAAAAAAAAAGAAAAGAAAAGAAACUGUUUUUGUAGUUUAUUUGUUUGAAUUGGGAUAUAAACAAGAUCCAUAUAAUAACCAUACCCAUAUUAUGUUUGGAUACGGUGUAUUUUUUUUACGACAAGAGAAUAUUUUGUUUCAUUUAGCUGAUUUUUUAAAUAAUAUUUAACUUCUCUAUUCUCUGAAUUUCUGUAAAGUCUGUAGAUAGUUGAUUAGAUUUAGGUUUUAUUUGGGGUACAAGAAGGGAUCUGAAGUGGCACUGUAUACUUUUUCUUGUAUCACAUGGCAUCUUUUCUUGUUACUACUACAUUUCUAGUGAUAUGAGAAUUGUCAUUGGGGACAGACUGAAGUAAUCACUUCUUUACAGUUGUGAUCCAAGAACUUUGGCUAUUUGAGGACUGGCAUCCACAACUCCCCUUUCUUAUAUCAUAUCUCAAGUUUCUCAAGACAAACACUUUAUAACCCUGCAGCAGCAUGCUGAAAAUGUUACCUGGCUGCCAGACCCUCUAAAGUUUCUUCAGAAUAUUAUCAAAGUAAUGUUUCUGUUGCUUUGCUAAACCAAGAAGCCAUUUUUUGUAGGAACCUAGAGUUUGAGUUUCCUGGGCUGUUUGGGGUAGAGUUCCAAUUCUCUGUUGCUUCCUGGACUAUACCUUGAGCUAGUUUCUCUAUUAGUGACCUGAAGUAUGGAGCAUUAAUUACAGAUUCAGAUGGUAGCAGCAUCAUCAUCUGCCCAGGAUAAUGUGGUGGCCUCAGGUAGUCUUGGUAAACCAGAUCGUUCUCUAGAUGUGUGUUUGAGAAUUUUAGUCUAGUCUCAGGAAAAGAAGAGAAAAGAAUGACCUUUCAAAGAAUCAUUAUUUGAGGAUGGUUGUGGAAAAUCCUCAGAUGCCACCAUCGUGGAGCCCUCUCAGCUAAGCCUAUGCUGCUCCCUGGAUCUCUGUUUCUGCCUUCUAUCUCUUGGGCUCCUGAGUUGUAGAUCUGCCUAACACCUCUGCUCUCCAAUGCUUCAUCCUCCUGUCAGCCUGCCAGGCUGAUGAGAUGAGCUGGAUUUAAAGGAACUAGCUGCAGCAAGAACUCAGAAAACAGUGAAGAAACCAUGCAACACAUGAACAUGAGUUUUAAGGGUGGGACUGCUUUGCAGCCCCAAGGGUCAGCCCCAUGCUGGGCAGUACUGAAAAAAGCAAGAGAAUGAGCGCACCCAGAAUCCCUCUAUUUGUUGGGGAAAAGAUAUUCAAUAGAAUAUUCCACCCAAAUAAGGCAAGGGGUAAUAUUACAAGAAACAGGGGAUUAGCACAAUCCCAUUGGAUGACGCCUAAGCCCAGAGCUGAGGCUCUUCCUUGCUGAGCAAGGGUAAGGCCCACUUGCUUUACACAGUGUGCAAUGCCAGUUCAAUACCCUCAUUAUUCAAGGAUCAAGGGGUGUGCUUAGCUGUGCAGGGCGGCCCCCAAUAUCAUCCUUAAUGUGUUACCAACAGAACUCACAUCUAGCCAUCCUCCAGUCCAUCCUUCCUCCUCUGUUCCCUCUUCUGAUGUUGCCUCUUCACCUCCAUUCUCACUGCUUUUGUUCAGAUCCUUCAGUUUCUGGCCCAGAUUAUUGCAGUAGUCUUCUAAGUGAAUCUUCCUGCUAAGUUCUUGUCCCUUCUGAUUCAUAUUCCAUACUGUUAUCAAUAAGGUAUUUUUAAAUGCAGAUUUGAUUAGCUUCUCUUUCCUACUCAGUGUUGUUUUAUUGUUGUUCUCAGUUUGUUUUGUUGGUGCUGAGGAUUGGACCCAGGCCCUCGUGCUAGUCAAGUUCUUUACCACCAAGCUACAUCUCCACCACUUCCAUGAUUCUUCAUGGCUUAUAAUGCUAGACGUCACCUUGCUUUUGCCUAUAUUUGUAUCUUCACUAACUCCAUUUCCACAUAGCAUUGAAUGUGGAACAAGUGCAGGCCCUAAAAUCUUAGGACAGGAGGCCCAACUCUACCUCUAAUGAGCAAUAACUCUCGAGUUACUUAACCUCUGUAUUCUCAGUUUCUUCAGUAUGGGGAGGAGACUCAUAAAUAUUUAAGUGGAAAUCCACAUAACUGCUUAUGACAGUGCCAGGAACACAUGGUGUGUGUUCAACAAACAGACGCUAUUAUUGUUUUACUAUAUGAGCAUAUUUUAUAUUCUAUCAAUUGCUUAUGACUCCUCAAAAGAAUAUGUCCUCAUAUUCCUUUGCAUAGUAUAGUCCCAUUGUAUAAAAUAUGCUUCUUCCCUGUCUUCAGCCCCUGAUUCUACCUGAAAAAUAUCCACUAAGUCUAUGUGCUCCCAGUUGUACAAGUUGAGACAUCAUGAUCCCACUGUGUUCCCCAAUAAACAGAAAGAGCUUAUCUUUGCUCACCUUCUUCCCAUAGUGUUUAGCACAUUUAUUGCAAAUAAAUGUAUACUUCUAAAACUGAGCUGUCAUUAUCUGAGAAGAACUUGAACAAUCCACAGAAUUGCUUGAUAUUAGAGUACUUGAUUAUAUAUUUUUGUGUUCUAGAAUGUAUAACUUGUUAUAGAAGUUGUGGGCUCCCUUGGAUUGUUUUUCUAGUCAGGAUGAUGUAAUUAAGUGGGGUCACCCUUACCCUUGUCUAGUUCCCUCAUGACCCGACCCAUAACAUGUUUUCAAAAGGGCAAGGGGUCUUCAUUAGGGGGUGGGCUCUGGCCAUGUGGAAUUGAAUUCUUUCUCAUUUUGACCCUAAUAUACCUGAUCAAUUAUGUUAAAUAAAGCAUUUAGGUACAAUCAUCCUAAUUUUUAUUGACAUGUGCAAUAACCAGUUAAUAUUAGAUCUGUCCGACUGUAUCCAGAACCUUACCACCACCAAUCCAACCCUAUCCCACCAACUUUUAUUUGGAUGCAGUAGUACUUUUUUGUACUUUAUUUUCAACAUGACAAUUCAGAGUGACCAUUCUAAAAUACAAGUCAGAUCAUGAACCUUAUCUAGCACAAAAUUUUCCAAGUACUGCCACAGUCUGGCUGGGCACAAUUCACAAGCCACUUAUCAAGCAGAAACGAACUGUAUUUUUAGAACACACACCCCACACCACACGAGCUCUUCAGGAAUUCCCUCAGAGCCCAACUGCCACCAUCGGCUUCCCACAAGCCUCUCAACCCCCCCACUCCUCCUGCUCUUGAGGCCAAUUGGCUGGGUCAUGGGGACGGAGCCAAAAAAAGUCCCCCAAUGAGCAGCUCCAUGGUCUGAAAGGGCUGGGAAACAGCCCAAUGAGCAUCACCACAGAGGAGCCAAUCAGCUGGCAGCUAGAAGUUUGCUGGGGCCGCUGUGAGCCAA